GAUGAACGCUGGCGGCGUGCCUAACACAUGCAAGUCGAGCGAUUCUCUUCAGAGAAGAGCGGCGGACGGGUGAGUAACGCGUGGGUAACCUGCCCUGUACACACGGAUAACAUACCGAAAGGUAUGCUAAUACGCGAUAAUAUGCUUUUAUCGCAUGGUAGAAGUAUCAAAGCUUUUGCGGUACAGGAUGGACCCGCGUCUGACGAGCUAAUUGGUAAGGUAACGGCUUACCAAGGCGACGAUCAGUAGCCGACCUGAGAGGGUGAUGCGGCCACAUUGGAACUGAGACACGGUCCAAACUCCUACGGGAGGCAGCAGUGGGGAAUAUUGCACAAUGGGCGAAAGCCUGAUGCAGCAACGCCGCGUGAGCGAUGAAGGCCUUCGGGUCGUAAAACUCUGUCCUCAAGGAAGAUAAUGACGGUACUUGAGGAGGAAGCCCCGGCUAACUACGUGCCAGCCGCCGCGGUAA
RNAcentral lists this ribosomal RNA (469 nucleotides) under uncultured bacterium. Its description in RNAcentral is "partial 16S ribosomal RNA". It matches the Rfam family "Bacterial small subunit ribosomal RNA", at positions 28 to 523 of the family's 1533-position model. The record is from RNAcentral.